Small nucleolar RNA from Pteropus vampyrus (large flying fox), 125 nucleotides. The record is from Ensembl. Lineage: Eukaryota; Metazoa; Chordata; Mammalia; Chiroptera; Pteropodidae.
ACCGGCCCUUCUCCAAGCCGCCGCUUCUAUAUAGCUGCUGGGGCCAAAAAGGAGCCCAGAGUGAGUUUUCCUGGACAGUCGCCAUUUUGUUUGCUCUGAGCUGGAACAUUUGGAAAAAGGCAGUU